UACAGAGACCUCAAGCGUUAUCCGGAAUCAUUGGGCGUAAAGCGUACCGAUAGGUGGUUAUGCAAGUCAGAUGUGAAAUCUCCGAGCUCAACUCGGAAUCUGUCAUUUGAAACUGCAUGACUAGAGGGGCAAAGAGGAAGCUGGAACGAACGGUGUAGUAGUGAAAUGCGUUGAUAUCGUUCGGAACACCAAUAGCGAAGGCAGGCUUCUGGGUGCCACCUGACACUGCUAGGACGAAAGCGUGGGGAGCGAAUGGG
RNAcentral lists this ribosomal RNA (257 nucleotides) under uncultured bacterium. RNAcentral's name for it is "partial 16S ribosomal RNA". It matches the Rfam family "Bacterial small subunit ribosomal RNA", at positions 524 to 776 of the family's 1533-position model. The record is from RNAcentral.